Molecule: transfer RNA, 67 nt
Filed under: Marmota monax (woodchuck)
Lineage: Eukaryota; Metazoa; Chordata; Mammalia; Rodentia; Sciuridae
Description: tRNA.Ala
Rfam family: tRNA
About the family: Transfer RNA (tRNA) molecules are approximately 80 nucleotides in length. Their secondary structure includes four short double-helical elements and three loops (D, anti-codon, and T loops).
Source: RNAcentral
GGUUGUAGUUCAGUGGUAGAGCGCUUGCCUAGCAUGCAUGAGGCACUGGGUUCGAUCCCCGGCACCA